AACGCAUAUUGCGCUCUCUGGUAUUCCGGGGAGCAUGCCUGUUUCAGCAUCAUUUGACCAUAUCAAAAUCAACCAUUUUUGAUUUUGGAUUUGGGCCGACUUGCUGGACUUUUUAUGAUAAAUCAUAUUGUCGUACAGCAGGCCUGAAAUUUUAUACAUUGUAAAUGCAAGAAAUUUUGGAGACGCUGACACGUCCAAAAACGAAAGGCUUAUUAGUUGACAUCUUGUCAAAUGUGCCGAUAAUCGCUUUUGAUAACGAUCAGCAUGUCCCCAUCACAAAUUGAUCUGAAAUCAGGUAGGAUUACCCGCUGAACUUAA
This 318-nucleotide unclassified non-coding RNA is filed under the name uncultured fungus. RNAcentral's name for it is "partial contains 5.8S ribosomal RNA, internal transcribed spacer 2, and large subunit ribosomal RNA". The record is from RNAcentral. Lineage: Eukaryota; Fungi.